CCGGGGCCGCGCAACCUCCCGGUAAAGCGUCCCGGCGCUCAAGCGUUGC
Molecule: regulatory RNA element, 49 nt
Organism: Sphingopyxis macrogoltabida
Lineage: Bacteria; Pseudomonadati; Pseudomonadota; Alphaproteobacteria; Sphingomonadales; Sphingopyxidaceae
Rfam family: chrB-b RNA
Source: Rfam